UUUAUAUCUUGACGCUGCUGCUAACAACAAAGCCUCAACUGCGUACUCGUUCUUCUUGGAUGGUGUCUGCAAACAUGGAUGGCCCUCAAGAGUACGUGGUGACCAGGGUGUGGAAAAUGUGGAUAUUGCCCGGUGCAUGUUUUCUGUACGACGAACUGGACGCAGUAGCUUCAUUGCUGGCAAAAGCGUCCACAAUCAAAGUCUGACCUGGAGCAUUUCAUGGGUAGCUGGAACAGGCACCCUCUCAGAACUGAAGGCAACUUAUCUCCAGAGCAGCUGUGGCACAUUGGAAUGCUUCAAACACCCAUGGCUGAGCCAGAUAUUGAGCCACUGGAGAAUCUAUUCCAGGAGGGCUGGACUGAUGUUGACCAACAGGAUGGAGUAGUGGUGUCAGAGAUCCCAUGUCCCCUCUCAGACCAGAACCUUGCUGUACUUGAAGGAUUGAUAAAUCCCAUUACCUCACCCUUGCCUCAUAAAGAGCUUUAUAUGCGGACUCUAAAUCUGGUGCAAAGACUACUAUAAGAAGGAAGACCUGAGCAGCAAGAAUUGUUUUAAUACAGAUUUUAAGAAAUUUGUCAUGGAUUGUGUGUAACAGAUUGUUUAUUAGUAACAGGCUACAACUGUGACAGUUUACAUUUAAUAUCAGUUUCAUAGUUUUGCAUUAAGAACUGUUUUUAAUUGGUUGUAAAUGUUAAAUUGUAAAGAACCUGUACAAUAAAACCUGAAAUCCUUAAGUAAUUCAUUUACAGUCUGUGAAAGCCUGCACCACAUUUGAUUGCUGUAGAGAGAAAAGACGGAAAGCAAUGUAUAACUC
Paramormyrops kingsleyae is the source of this 814-nucleotide long non-coding RNA. RefSeq lists it as uncharacterized. Lineage: Eukaryota; Metazoa; Chordata; Actinopteri; Osteoglossiformes; Mormyridae. The record is from RefSeq and is a predicted model, not a curated record.